AUUGAACGCUGGCGGCAGGCUUAACACAUGCAAGUCGAGCGGUAACAGUCCUUCGGGAGCUGACGAGCGGCGGACGGGUGAGUAACGCGUAGGAACAUACCUUGUAGACGAGGAUAGCCCGAGGAAACUCGGAUUAAUACUGGAUAUACCUAAGGGUGAAAGAUGGCCUCUGAUUUAAGCUGUCGUUACAAGAUUGGCCUGCGUAAGAUUAGCUUGUUGGUAAGGUAAAAGCUUACCAAGGCUACGAUCUUUAGCUGGUUUGAGAGGAUGAUCAGCCACACUGGGACUGAGACACGGCCCAGACUCCUACGGGAGGCAGCAGUGGGGAAUAUUGGGCAAUGGGCGAAAGCCUGACCCAGCCAUGCCGCGUGUGUGAAGAAGGCCUUAGGGUUGUAAAGCACUUUAAGUUGUGAAGAAGAUUAAUUAUUUAAUAGAUAGUUAAUUUGACAUUAGCAACAGAAUAAGCACCGGCUAACUCCG
This 480-nucleotide ribosomal RNA is filed under the name uncultured Gammaproteobacteria bacterium. RNAcentral's name for it is "bacterial SSU rRNA". It matches the Rfam family "Bacterial small subunit ribosomal RNA", at positions 30 to 505 of the family's 1533-position model. The record is from RNAcentral. Lineage: Bacteria; Pseudomonadati; Pseudomonadota; Gammaproteobacteria.